RNAcentral lists this ribosomal RNA (519 nucleotides) under uncultured Actinomycetes bacterium. RNAcentral describes it as "bacterial SSU rRNA". It matches the Rfam family "Bacterial small subunit ribosomal RNA", at positions 38 to 566 of the family's 1533-position model. Lineage: Bacteria; Bacillati; Actinomycetota; Actinomycetes. The record is from RNAcentral.
GGCGGCGUGCCUAACACAUGCAAGUCGAACGAGGUUGAUCUGGUGGUAACACCAGUGACUACCUAGUGGCGAACGGGUGAGUAACACGUGAGGAACCUGCCCCGAAGACCGGGAUAAGCCUCCGAAAGGAGGUCUAAUACCGGAUACCCCCAUUGAGCCGCAUGGCUCGAUGAGGAAAUGGAUUCCGCUUCGGGAGGGCCUCGCGGCCUAUCAGCUAGUUGGUGGGGUAACGGCCCACCAAGGCGUCGACGGGUAGCUGGUCUGAGAGGACGAUCAGCCACACUGGGACUGAGACACGGCCCAGACUCCUACGGGAGGCAGCAGUGGGGAAUCUUGCGCAAUGGGCGAAAGCCUGACGCAGCAACGCCGCGUGGGGGAUGAAGGCUCUCGGGUUGUAAACCCCUUUCAGCAGGGACGAAUCAAGACGGUACCUGCAGAAGAAGCCCCGGCUAACUACGUGCCAGCAGCCGCGGUAACACGUAUGGGGCAAGCGUUGUCCGGAUUUAUUGGGCGUAAAGA